RNAcentral lists this long non-coding RNA (1061 nucleotides) under Phoenix dactylifera (date palm). RNAcentral describes it as "long non-coding RNA (PDAC_LNC003510)". Lineage: Eukaryota; Viridiplantae; Streptophyta; Magnoliopsida; Arecales; Arecaceae. The record is from RNAcentral.
GAGAGAGAGAGAGGACAAACUAGUUUUAGGGCCAGCAGGGUGGUUCCACAAAGCUUGAAUCUUUGAUGCUGCCAUAAAGUGUUGCCCUAUUUCUUUCUUCUCCUCCUUACGUCCACUCCCAGCCCUCUCCUGCAUGCAAGACAAACAUGCCAAGCUGAACCAAAUAAUCCUCGUUAUUUCUAUGGAAUGGUAGUAUUUCUAAUCUCAGCACAUUUCUCUUAUCACGUUGUCCAUGUUUUCUAAUGAUCAAAGACAAAAACAAAUACUCCUUCGUUCUAGUUGUCGGUAUUCUCCUCAAACCCUGAACAUAGCCACUCUCAAUCUGGCUACUCUCGAGCUUUGUGAUACUUUGAUAUGCUAUUCUAAUUUUAAUGACAAACAUGCUAUCCUACAAAAUGACAAUAAUUCUCAAUCUUGUAUGAGUGAUAAUUUGAGCUAUUUUCAUCCUACAAAAUGCAUCUAAAACUAUAAAAAUAGCUUGCAAAUUAAUCUUCCUCUCACCUGAGCCAGCCAAUCUGCUCUUCCCUGUCAGGCACCAAAUCACCAGAGCUGCAUCAGAUGCCAUCCACAUUUCAAUGCCACAUAGACCACAAUACUAUUUCUUAACAUCAUGAUUUCAAAAGUGAUAUCAUCCAGGGCGAUCAUGCUCAAGCCAAAUCUAAUCAUGAUGAAUUAAUCAAAAUUGCGUUGGUUUACUUUGGGCCUCAGUAUCUUCAGCAGCAGAGAAAAGGUAAAUCAGGGAAACAAUGGCAAGCCAUUACCAUUUUGUGAGGAGCUCCUUUACAACUUGAUGAAAAUAGAGCUCAACCUGCUUACAGACUUGGUCCUAUUCUGGUUCAUGUCCCAAAGCUCGACAUGGUAAAUAUUGUCAGCAACUAACCACAUUUCGAUGGUUCCUGAUGAAUUAAGCACAAUGUCAACACACUCUGGUGGUAUACGAGUCCCAAAACAUACUAGCAUUCAGAGCCCUUUUUUCUCCUUUGUUGGCAAAAAUAAUUGGAGCCAGUUAACUUGAUUGUUCUCCCUUCGAACCUAGCAUGAUAGUGGCAGAGCCUGUGGAU